GACGAAAGUCUGAUGGAGCAACGCCGCGUGAGCGAAGAAGGCCUUCGGGUCGUAAAGCUCUGUUGUUAGGGAAGAACAAGUAUCGGAGUAACUGCCGGUACCUUGACGGUACCUAACCAGAAAGCCACGGCUAACUACGUGCCAGCAGCCGCGGUAAUACGUAGGUGGCAAGCGUUGUCCGGAAUUAUUGGGCGUAAAGCGCGCGCAGGCGGUCCUUUAAGUCUGAUGUGAAAGCCCACGGCUCAACCGUGGAGGGUCAUUGGAAACUGGGGGACUUGAGUGCAGAAGAGGAAAGCGGAAUUCCGCGUGUAGCGGUGAAAUGCGUAGAGAUGUGGAGGAACACCAGUGGCGAAGGCGGCUUUCUGGUCUGUAACUGACGCUGAGGCGCGAAAGCGUGGGGAGCAAACAGGAUUAGAUACCCUGGUAGUCCACGCCGUAAACGAUGAGUGCUAAGUGUUAGGGGGUUUCCGCCCCUUAGUGCUGCAGCUAACGCAUUAAGCACUCCGCCUGGGGAGUACG
RNAcentral lists this ribosomal RNA (519 nucleotides) under uncultured bacterium. RNAcentral's name for it is "bacterial SSU rRNA". It matches the Rfam family "Bacterial small subunit ribosomal RNA", at positions 374 to 884 of the family's 1533-position model. The record is from RNAcentral.